Molecule: long non-coding RNA, 542 nt
Filed under: Erythranthe guttata (spotted monkey flower)
Lineage: Eukaryota; Viridiplantae; Streptophyta; Magnoliopsida; Lamiales; Phrymaceae
Description: long non-coding RNA (EGUT_LNC000572)
Source: RNAcentral
GAAAAUGAAUAUUAUGAAUUCUUGAAGCAACAUGAGUAAUCGAGGAGCCAAAAUGGAAACAUUAAAACUUGGAGGACAUAUUGGAUGUUAGACUCUACAGAGGCUUUGAAGCGGGUGGAAUCGUCAUCGCCGGAGAAGUUGGAUUCCUUGGGCACUCGUCGAAUUUGCCGCUCUUCUUGCAGAUCGAGUUUAUGCACAUGAUCGUAUAUCAAUCACACUCGUCAUUCACGCAUUCUCUCUUUUAAUUUAUGAAAUAUCUUUAUAUUUUCUUGGUUGAUAACCGAGGGGAGAAAUUAUGGAGCGAUGAAGGGUAAAUUUGAUUUCAUUCCAUCACCCAAUGAACAUGUGAGUCCAUUGUAUGUAUUUAUCUGAACAAGGAAAUGUGCGAAAAUGGAUGUUCUCCUCAAUUUGAUUGAUUAUCAGUUGGUGUUUGAGACAUGAAAAAGCAACUUGGAAAGAAUAUGUGAAAUGGAGUGAAAAUUGCAAGAGUUAGGGCCUGUGAAAUUAAAAAGACCAAAAAGUCCUUCAAAAUCGCAUGUGCA